GAUGAACGCUGGCGGCGUGCCUAAUACAUGCAAGUCGAGCGAACAGACGCGGAGCUUGCUCCUCUGACGUUAGCGGCGGACGGGUGAGUAACACGUGGAUAACCUACCUAUAAGACUGGGAUAACUUCGGGAAACCGGAGCUAAUACCGGAUAAUAUAUUGAACCGCAUGGUUCAAUAGUGAAAGACGGUUUUGCUGUCACUUAUAGAUGGAUCCGCGCCGCAUUAGCUAGUUGGUAAGGUAACGGCUUACCAAGGCAACGAUGCGUAGCCGACCUGAGAGGGUGAUCGGCCACACUGGAACUGAGACACGGUCCAGACUCCUACGGGAGGCAGCAGUAGGGAAUCUUACGCAAUGGGCGAAAGCCUGACGGAGCAACGCCGCGUGAGUGAUGAAGGUCUUCGGAUCGUAAAACUCUGUUAUUAGGGAAGAACAAAUGUGUAAGUAACUAUGCACGUCUUGACGGUACCUAAUCAGAAAGCCACGGCUAACUACGUG
RNAcentral lists this ribosomal RNA (497 nucleotides) under uncultured bacterium. RNAcentral describes it as "partial 16S ribosomal RNA". It matches the Rfam family "Bacterial small subunit ribosomal RNA", at positions 28 to 507 of the family's 1533-position model. The record is from RNAcentral.